UACGUAGGGUGCAAGCGUUAAUCGGAAUUACUGGGCGUAAAGCGUGCGCAGGCGGCUUUGCAAGACAGAUGUGAAAUCCCCGGGCUCAACCUGGGAACUGCAUUUGUGACUGUAGAGCUGGAGUGCGGCAGAGGGGGAUGGAAUUCCGCGUGUAGCAGUGAAAUGCGUAGAUAUGCGGAGGAACACCGAUGGCGAAGGCAAUCCCCUGGGCCUGCACUGACGCUCAUGCACGAAAGCGUGGGGAGCAAACAGG
RNAcentral lists this ribosomal RNA (253 nucleotides) under uncultured bacterium. Its description in RNAcentral is "partial 16S ribosomal RNA". It matches the Rfam family "Bacterial small subunit ribosomal RNA", at positions 524 to 776 of the family's 1533-position model. The record is from RNAcentral.